AGUUUGGGUUUAAGGGUUUUGGUGCAAAUCCAAGUAGCAGCU
This 42-nucleotide transfer RNA is filed under the name Pterygoplichthys anisitsi (snow pleco). Its description in RNAcentral is "partial tRNA-Leu". The record is from RNAcentral. Lineage: Eukaryota; Metazoa; Chordata; Actinopteri; Siluriformes; Loricariidae.